GCCUCGGCCCACCAAAAAACACAAGGGAGGGCGGAUGGACCCACAGCCAGUGUUACCUCAUCGGAGGGAAGGGAUGCCAGAUGAUCUUCCCCCACCACCAGAUCCCCCACCAGGUCAGGGUUUAAGGCAGCAGAUAGGCCUGAGCCAACACUCUGGUAACGUGGAAAGCUCAACAGAGAGGAAAGGAAGCUCUCUAGAGAGACAACAAGCAGCCAACUUAGAAGACACAAAGAGCUCAUUGGAUUGUCCGGCUAAAACUACUGUAGAGUGGCAGCAUCAAACCCAGGACUGGAUAAACUCUACAGAGCGCCAAGAAGAAACACGGAAAGCCCCACACAAACCAGGGGUUGGAUCAGAGGAGUCCCUGGUGCCCUACAGCAAGCCCAGCUUCCCAUCUCCAGGCGGGCACAGCUCAUCCGGAACAGCCUCCUCUAAAGGGUCCACUGGUCCUCGGAAGGCUGAGAUUCUGAGGGGCAGCCACCAGCGGAAUGCCAAUGACCUUCUCGACAUUGGAUAUGUGGGCUCAAAUAGUCAAGGGCAGUUUACAGGUGAAUUGUAGUAACUGAGAGGAGACAUACAAAGACGCUCUGAGGACCAUCAGGUCCAAACUCAUGGAAGUGAUGACAUUUAACAGUGCAAUGAACAAUUUCUUUAUUUAUGUACUAUUAAAAAAUACUGUAAAUGCAAUGUAAAGACACAGCCACACAUAUCCCACAGUUCUUUUCUUGUGUCCUUCUCUUACUUACACCACCCACCUUAACUCUUUCUUGUCAGGAGUAUAUAAGAAAAAGAAAGAAAGCAAAACUCGCCCUCCAGGAAGAAAAGGAUUUUCCUCUGUACAUAAUUUCUUUGGUGCAUUGCUAUGCAAGCUCACUCUUUUUAACUCUGUUCGUAUUAUUGUCUGUUCUUAUUGGUCUGUUGUACUAUAUGUGAAUUAAUGGGCUGUGGUACCAUAUAUUAACUUUUAAUUGUGUAACUUUUUAUGUUUAAAUUUUGCACUGCAAUUUUAUUUGGUGAUAAGCACAAAUCUCUCCUCCUCAUAACAUGAAGAAAAGAUUGAAUGUGAAGGGAGUGUUCUGUACUGUAAGCUAGGUGGACAAUGCUGGUGUGACCAAUCCUGUUAGACGGUUUUCAGUUGGGGGUGUAGAAAUAGGAAGAUGCGAAGGAAUGAUGGGUGUUGGCAAAGUCUUCUUGAACCAUCAGAUACUGAGUCAAUUUUAAGAAGCAGAAAGAUGGAUGCUAUUGACUAUAGCAGGGGUCAAAAGAAGGGGCUUUGAGUCUAGACAGAAUAUGUAAGAAAGUAUGGCGGUGGCAAAGAUGUACUAACUUGCUUUAAAAAUCUUAUUAAAGUUUUAUUUAGAAUGAACUUCACUGGCCAUUGUAAUUAACCCAUCUUAGAAUUACAAUGAGCAAAAUAAAAUCAAGGUGGUUCAAGAGAUCUGUAUUUAUAUAUUCCAGCUUUAAAAAAAAACAGCAGUUUUGAAUUACCAUAAUUAAUCUCUCCAACUCAUUAAGUCAGACUAUAACAUAGAGUUCCCCAAGGAAACAAAGAAAAUGAACUCCAGAGAUUCCAGCAAAUAGUUAAAGGAGCCACUUAUUGUCAGGGCACACUCGGCUGCUCUGGACUAUAAGCUCAGUUGUAGUAUUGUGUUCGUCUUUCUAAUACACAUACAGUACAUAAUAGAGGAUGUAGUCACAUCACUUCGGUUCAUUUCUUUGCUUUUUUUAAAAGCAAACCAAUGCAUUCUACAUACAAUUUUGUGUUUCUUCUGAUGAAAACGUGAAACCAAUGCUACCACAUGUAUAGCUGAGUUAUCAGUGCCUAAGGGCAGUGCUCGCAGUGUGUUCAGUUUCUGGUUAGUUGAUUUACUGGGCUCAAUAUUUUCUGGUACAGUCUCAGAAAUUGGCCACCAACUAAAACCUGUUUGACCCAUUUUGAAUGAGUAAAUCGGAAAGAACAGUCAAAAGGGAGAAAAAAAAUGCAUGUUUAUACACUUUUUAAAUAAAACCAAAUCUUGUACGUGGACAUU
Molecule: long non-coding RNA, 2030 nt
Filed under: Rattus norvegicus (Norway rat)
Lineage: Eukaryota; Metazoa; Chordata; Mammalia; Rodentia; Muridae
Description: long non-coding RNA NONRATT006800
Source: RNAcentral